UUUUGGAAGUAAAAAUCGUAACAAGGUUUCCGUAGGUGAACCUGCGGAAGGAUCAUUAUCAUACAACCGAGGCACAAGGGCUGUCGCUAACUUUCUUGUUGUGCACGCCUAAGUGCUCUCACACAUAUCCAUCUCACCCAUUUGUGCAUCAUCGCGUGGGUCCUGCUCUUUGGCUUGUUCCAAGGAGGGGGGCUUGCGUUUUCAUACAAACACCCCUUUUAAUGCAGUAUAGAAUGUUCUUGCAAUGACUUGCAAUAAAUACAACUUUCAACAACGGAUCUCUUGGCUCUCGCAUCGAUGAAGAACGCAGCGAAAUGCGAUACGUAAUGUGAAUUGCAGAAUUCAGUGAAUCAUCGAAUCUUUGAACGCACCUUGCGCCCCUUGGCAUUCCGAGGGGCACACCCGUUUGAGUGUCGUGAUAUUCUCAAAGAACCCUUCUUUGGUCUUGUGAUCAGGAAAGGCUUUUUGGACUUUGGAGGUUAUUGCUGGUCCCCCCUUGAUAGCCAGCUCCUCUUAAAUGGAUUAGUAGGGACCACUUUGCUGACCCUAGACGUGAUAAGAUGUUUCUGCGUCUUGGGUUUUUGCUCUGUCCUUUGGAGACCUGCUUCUAACCGUCUUGUUAAAAGACAGCAUUUGAGCCUUUCUCAUUGAUCGGGAAAGGCUUGACUCAUGAACCUUGACCUCAAAUCGGGUGAGACUACCCGCUGAACUUAAGCAUAUCAAUAAGCCGGAGGAA
Molecule: small RNA, 736 nt
Filed under: Russula sp. HMAS 280182
Lineage: Eukaryota; Fungi; Basidiomycota; Agaricomycetes; Russulales; Russulaceae
Description: eukaryotic LSU rRNA
Rfam family: 5.8S ribosomal RNA (bases 263-416)
Source: RNAcentral